UGAGGAAUAUUGGUCAAUGGGCGAGAGCCUGAACCAGCCAAGUAGCGUGAAGGAUGACUGCCCUAUGGGUUGUAAACUUCUUUUAUAAAGGAAUAAAGUCGGGUAUGCAUACCCGUUUGCAUGUACUUUAUGAAUAAGGAUCGGCUAACUCCGUGCCAGCAGCCGCGGUAAUACGGAGGAUCCGAGCGUUAUCCGGAUUUAUUGGGUUUAAAGGGAGCGUAGAUGGAUGUUUAAGUCAGUUGUGAAAGUUUGCGGCUCAACCGUAAAAUUGCAGUUGAUACUGGAUAUCUUGAGUGCAGUUGAGGCAGGCGGAAUUCGUGGUGUAGCGAUGAAAUGCUUAGAUAUCACGAAGAACUCCGAUUGCGAAGGCAGCCUGCUAAGCUGCAACUGACAUUGAGGCUCGAAAGUGUGGGUAUCAAACAGGAUUAGAUACCCUGGUAGUCCACACGGUAAACGAUGAAUACUCGCUGUUUGCGAUAUACGGCAAGCGGCCAAGCGAAAGCGUUAAGUAUUCCACCUGGGGAGUACGCCGGCAACGGUGAAACUCAAAGGAAUUGACGGGGGCCCGCACAAGCGGAGGAACAUGUGGUUUAAUUCGAUGAUACGCGAGGAACCUUACCCGGGCUUAAAUUGCAGAUGAAUUACGGUGAAAGCCGUAAGCCGCAAGGCAUCUGUGAAGGUGCUGCAUGGUUGUCGUCAGCUCGUGCCGUGAGGUGUCGGCUUAAGUGCCAUAACGAGCGCAACCCUUGUUGUCAGUUACUAACAGGUUCCGCUGAGGACUCUGACAAGACUGCCAUCGUAAGAUGUGAGGAAGGUGGGGAUGACGUCAAAUCAGCACGGCCCUUACGUCCGGGGCUACACACGUGUUACAAUGGGGGGUACAGAGGGCCGCUACCACGCGAGUGGAUGCCAAUCCCAAAAACCUCUCUCAGUUCGGACUGGAGUCUGCAACCCGACUCCACGAAGCUGGAUUCGCUAGUAAUCGCGCAUCAGCCACGGCGCGGUGAAUACGUUCCC
Molecule: ribosomal RNA, 1017 nt
Filed under: uncultured bacterium
Lineage: Bacteria
Description: bacterial SSU rRNA
Rfam family: Bacterial small subunit ribosomal RNA
Source: RNAcentral